This is a long non-coding RNA of Rosa rugosa (rugosa rose), 1594 nucleotides long. RefSeq lists it as uncharacterized. Lineage: Eukaryota; Viridiplantae; Streptophyta; Magnoliopsida; Rosales; Rosaceae. The transcript has 2 exons. The record is from RefSeq and is a predicted model, not a curated record.
UAGAAAAGCAAAAUAGGAGGAGAGUCGGUGCUUUGCAGAAAAGGGAGUUGGAAGCUUCGAGAGACGGUGAUCGAUUCGAUUGCUGUCUCUCUGAGACAGCGAUUCUGAGAGCAAGAAAUAAUCGAGGUUUAGGUUUUGUUUUGGCAGUACAGAGGGAGGGAGAGAGAAACACUGAGAGCGAGGUAGGGAUCGAUAGCAAGAUUUGGAUCGGGCUUGGGAUCGGGUAGGGAUCCAAAUCUUGCUAUCGAUCUUUGAAGAACGAUCCAAUUUGUGCGGCUUCUUUCUGAGGUUGCACCAGAUAUGGCCCUUGAAUUUUUGGCAGGAGCACCGUUUCAGCUCAUGUACGACAUGGUUAAGGUAGCGCUCUGGAAUACGAAGUUAUUCAGGUCUCAACUUAGGCAACUGGAAAACAUACUCAAAAUUCUCCAGCCUCAAAUUCUUGAGCAGAUAAGACAAAACAAUGUGCAGCUUCACCUUUCAACCCUACACAUAAAAGAGCUUCAGCUGAAAAUUGAAGACGGUUUAAUGCUCCUCGAAAAAUUAGGAAGUAUUAGCAAUUUUAAUGUGCACGUUUGGGGUUCCUGCUUUAGCAACUUGUGGAGGUGUUUCAACAGGUGGGCUUAUCCCUUCUAGCUUAAUGCCAAGAACCAGCUCUUUCAAAUCAGCAACUGUGUCACUGAGAAGUUUCAGAUUGCUGCUCACUCUUUCCGCAGAGUCAACCGAGGGCAAAGUUGAUGAGGUGAGCAGCAAUCUGAAACUUCUGACUCUUUCCGCAGAGUCAACCGAGGGCAAAGUUCAGAUUGCUGCUCACUCUUUCCGCAGGCUCACCUGAUCAACUUUGCCCUCGGUUGACUCUGCGGAAAGAGUGAGAAGUUUCAGAUUGCUGCUCACCUCAUCAAGUUUGGCCUCGGUUGACUUGGCGGAAAGAGUGAGCCGGCCAAGUAGUGACAGAUUCUCCAACUCAAUGAUUUUUAGAAGCCUUUACAGCCCUAUGAUUAAAUCCUCCAGCUGAUCUGCGUAUCUAGGCUUUAGACAGGAACCCCAAACGUGCACAUUAAAUUUGCUAAUACUUCCUAAUUUUUCGAGGAGCAUUAAACCGUCUUCAAUUUUCAGCUGGAGCUCUUUUAUGUGUACGGUUGAAAGGUGAAGCUGCACAUUGUUUUGUCUUAUCUGCUCAAGAAUUUGAGGCUGGAGAAUUUUGAGUAUGUUUUCCAGAAUUUGAGGCUGUCUCUUCCAAAUUCUGUCAGUAUUGAUGGAAUCACAUCAGUCUUAUCAGCCGAAGCCUAGAAACUUUAGCAAAAGACAGAUUUAAAAGCUACAGUUGCUUGCUUUCUCUUUAUGUAGUAACUAUGUUGAUAGAUUGGCUUUUUUUUUUUAUGACAAUGUUGAUAGAUUGGUUGAUAUGGUGUUACAUAUUCACAUAUUGAUAGAUUGGUUGCUUGCUCUCUCUUUAUAUAGUAACUAUGUUUUGCAAAAGGCACCUCUUUACAGAGGGGAAAGAAAUGUUGCAGUGACUUGAAUUUGAUUCACUCGGAUGAUUAUAUCGGUGCAAAUUGAACUCCAUUUUUAAUUAAUGAGCUAUUUCAAAGUUAAA